Long non-coding RNA from Triticum dicoccoides, 5256 nucleotides. RefSeq lists it as uncharacterized. The transcript has 3 exons. NCBI's taxonomy places the organism in Eukaryota, Viridiplantae, Streptophyta, Magnoliopsida, Poales, Poaceae. The record is from RefSeq and is a predicted model, not a curated record.
CCCAGCAGCCAAACCAACCCUAGCCCCCUUUCUCCUUUCCCUCGAUCCCCACGAGCCGCUGUGCCCCUCCCUCUCCCUUCCGUGCGUGCGCUCGGCCAAGGACGCUGUCGUCGCCCUCGGCUGCUCCUCCAGGACCUCGCCUCUUUAUCCUCCUCGCCUUCCCAUCGCUCACGUGCAGGUUGCCGUUGUCGGAGAACAGGACAGUGCGGGUCGCUUCCUCCUUUUCCUCCCAUCAGAUCUAAAGCGUGCGGUCACGGAGGCGAGCCUCUCCUACAGGGGAGAGAAGAUGGGAGAGAGGGGGAGAAGGAAGGAGAGGAGGGAGGCCCAGCGGCGAACUAGAGAGGGCCGGCUAGCGCCGGCCAGGUCAGGUGCGACCUGGUGGUUGGUGGCGGCUCGAUCCACUACUGGAUCCUUUUUCUUCCACCUCCCCACUAUCUAACACCGAGCACCGGUCAAGGAGCAUGGGAUCGACAACGGCGGCUAGAAGCCAAGAAGGAGGAUGAGGGGAUUGAAGAGGGUCUUCUUGUGUUCAUUGCGUGACCAAGGAAGAGGACGAUGACGCAGGGUGGAACAUGUCAUCCCUCUGGUUUUGGCCUUCCUUUCUGCUGCUGGGCUAAGAUGAGGGUUUCCACUGAUUGUGGUGGCAUGAGGCAGAGAUCGACAGCCAGAUGCUUGUGGCUGCCACACAAAACAUGCUCUCUUGCUGACCUUGAGGUCCAGCCGCAAUGGACCAUCUCCAAGGUAUCUAGCCUGAUGUUCCUCCUGUUUCAGAUCAUAUGUGUUGGUCUGAUGUAUGUGUAAGAGAACCAAAUUCGAAUUGGGGAAGGGAGCUUUCAGACCAAUCUAAUUGUCAUUCCUUAUGUAGAUUCUUGUUUUUUCUCUUCUCAUAUUUUAGGCUGGGUGUAUAAGCACUAAGCUGGGUGUAUUAGCAAUGAUGGUGAGUUAAUAAUGCCUUUCAUUUUGUUUUUUCAAUGUGGAUCAUUGGAGCUAUCAUGAAGAUAUAAAGCAAGCUGCUGGUUUCGGCAACUUGACAUUUUUGUACUGAUUAGUGAACUAGCAAGGUAUAAUGGUAAUUCUUCUACAUCCAGAUGAAUGGGAUGGAUAGUAGUUCUGCUAUGCAGAAUGGUAGUGUUUCCUACACGAUCCUUUGUUUGUCAUGUAUACCAUCACUGAGUAUUGUAGAGGCUGUAGUAAUCUUACACUUUAUAUGGAUGGUGUGCAAGUUAAAGGUCUACAAAAUAAUGUGCUAAGCUCUUAUUUGUGGGCCAGGUUAAAGAUCCCAUGUUAGUUUGCUUGGUUUAAGUUUAGAAGCAACGAUACAAUGUUGUUUAAGUCAAGUUUUUAACUUUAUAUAUAUUUUGAUUACUGCUUCAUUAUUUAUCAACUGAGGCAUGGUUGUUGUGUGCACUUCUUACUGAUGAUGAUCCUGGUGUUGUUUUUGUUCAGUUAUAAUGGGAUGAAGUAACUUAAUUGACUAAUAGUGUUGUUAGUAGUGAUAGACAAUAGGAAAUUUACUGGAUCAGUUCAAGCAAAAAUACUUCCAGAAUCCAUCUUGUGAUCUAUUGGUAACAACACCAAGUUUGCCUGUUUGUUCAACCAAACAAAGUGUAUAAUACGCUUCAUUUUGCAGGUAUAGAAGAAGGACCUUUGCUUAAUGGUUGAUUUUCUUUUGCUCACGGCAGCUUGCUCAAGGAAAACAUGUAAGCCCAACGUGCACUGAUGGCGCUGCCAGCAGCAUCAAGGAUGGAAUCAGCAAGACACUCUUUUAGGUCAGAAAAAUUGGCGGUCCAAUGAUUAAACCUGAAUCUUCGUGGCUGCUACAGCCACCAUCCUGUUGUAGCUCAUCCAGACCAUGACUAUCAAUAGGUGACCAUCUUCAUUGAGGUACAGAAAACAAUCCAUGCAUUGCCAUGCUUAUCUUCUCUGAACUUUACAUCAUUCAAUCCCACUGAUUGACAAGACUUAGAUAUCAUGAGGAUGAUGAUGGAGGAUAGCAAUGUCUCCAUCAGCUGCUACCAUAGAAGGUGGAGACAAGUGGUGAGUGACAAUAUUGUAGCUAUCAAUGAAGAUCGUGGUUGCUUGCCCCCCCCCUACAAAGAUUAAGGUCCCUUGGAGGAUACAAAUGAUAGGUCCUUCGUCACUCGUGCUAAUGUUCAGGAAGAACCUGAGCCUGACAUGGCACCUGAACAUGUGCUAGGUUUGCUUACCCGCCUUUGAACUCUCUGAGUGUCAAAAGUACUAAAGUGGGUACUUCCUAAUGGCAAUAUUCUCUUCUUUGCUGGUGAGGGUAGGUUCUAGCUCAUCAGUUCUAGCUUCUUGUUGUUUCAUUGUAUUCAGUUAUGAUAUAUUUUUCAACUAUACAAGCACUCGGGGGAAGUCAGGAAAACUGAACCAAAGACAAACACUUUUACUGGCGAUGUUCGGGCUUUUUUAACUGAGAUGUGAAAGAUGCAUCUUAUCCCCUGAGAAAUAUUGCCUUUAAUUUCUUGAUUUUUUCCUGACAUGCUAAUUUAGAGCCAGAUAUUCAUGAUUCAUCAUACACAUUACAAUCAAUUAUCCAUUGGAAUCUUUUGUCCAUAGAGGUGAUUUUGUUUGGACCAUUAGUCUAGGUAGUGACAUUUUGAUCGAUCAGGCACAAGUUUAUUUUAUUUUUCACUCAGGGCUACACUAAAGUAAGCAUCACCAUCAGUGAAAAGAAGGCAUACAAAUCAUGAGGUUUUUGCCUUGUUUUUGUGCAUCAUUUAGUUGUCACUUAUUUGUUUCAAGGAAGUUAUUCAAUUCUCAUCGAGCUUUUCUUAUUCUUUCCAUUGGUAAAGGAGAAAUUUAAUAUGCAAUAUUUUUAAUAUUCGAGGAGGCCAGAGGAGAAGAAAAGGGGCUGUCAGGUCGGACUUUGGUGCGUCUCUGACCAAAGAUGGUUGGAUCCAUCCGACGUUCUUCCAAAUAGUACAGUGCAGAUUUGCUGACUGGUACAACAUCUAAACCUUGGCUACUCUAGCUUAUUUUUACAUCUCUUAGUAUCAACAAAUAACUUGGCUAUAUUAUAUACUUGAAGAUUGCAGCAGGCACAAAAUGCUUGGCUGACCACCCAGUUAAUUGAGUUGUGCCUACGAAGGGUCAGUAGAGUAGUUGCUUUUUCUAAAAAAAUGAGGAUCGGUUUGGUUGCCACAUGACGGUAAGGCUAGAAUGGUGGUACCGAAAAGUGGUUCUGUAAUGGUCAUAUGUGUCGUGGAGUUGGAACUUGGUUCUUUUGAAGUUGGAGUGGCUAGGUUGUCUAUAAAUACAUGCUGCCCACUAAAAUUAGAUUUUAGUAUACUGUUUAAAUCAGGGGUGGAUCAUUGUGUUGUGUUCGAAUUAGAGCUAGAGAGAAGGGAAGAGUUGCGACCAUACCAUUUAUUUAUACUGCAUGGUCCCACUGUCGAUUUUCUUAAAGUACAUUAGCCUUUUCUUAAAGUACAUUACCCUCUUGUUCUUGGAAGAAUAGAUUGAUGCUCCCUACCUCAGGUUUAACAAUGCAUGUAGGUUGGUCAGUGUACUAAUUUUGACGCUUCUAGAUCGGUUUUCGGAAGUCAUGGGCUUUUGUGUAUUUGUACAAGCUUCCUUCGUCUUUACUAUUUUCUAUCUUUAGUGUUUUUUAUGUUCCUUUGUAACUAUCCAAUGUUCUGCCUUGGGUGGCCUUUGUCUUGGUUUACAGCUCCAUAUGGCUAGCUAUGUAUACGUAUGUAGGUUUUGUUUGGACUGUACUCAAUCGCAUAGAUGUUUCCAUAUUCAUGCAUUCCUCUUUUUACUUGUGAUUGUUAGAUAGUUGAAUAUCAUUGGUUUAUGUCGGCAUUCUGUUUUUGCAAUUUGAAAUAGGUUUUGGUCCAAUGAUAUUAAACUUCACAAUAGGUAGUGGCAUCUUCAGGAAAAAGUAGUGGCAGAUACGAUGGACACUUCUUUUCCGGUGCAGAAAUGAUGCUAUUGACUUGAGUCCUCAACACAUAUUUUUCAGUAACGGAGAGGAUUAUUCACCUUUGCCACUACAGGCGUUAAGACCUGGCGGAGCCAGGCCAUCAAGCACUAUUAGUGUUCAACACUUGGCCCUGAUGAGCAUGACAACCUGUGCUACCGUCCGAACAUCUUCUAUUCUUCUUUUGGCCUGGAAUGAGACCAGUAGGGGCACCUUGAGCGAGUACUCAAGGAAUGCAGUCAAGUCAUGAUGCCGGUUCCCUUUCGCUAGAUCUUACAUAUUUAAUUAUGUGAUAUUCCUAAUGGUUGUUGCUGAUGCUGAAAAACUACUCCUGAAGCACUAGAAGUGCCCUCUCUAUGGUUCAUCACUCACUGGAUCCAGAUGGGCAACCUUCCGCUUCAAAAUUAAAAGAGCAUAGUUUUUGCCUGCUAUCAUUGCUUACGAAGAGUAAUCUACCAUGUCCCUAUAUAUAUACAUAAUUGUUGCACCAUCACAAGAUUUCCAUGAUAUGCAUGGGCAUCACUUUCUUUAUUGAGGAAAGGUAGGCUGUCAUUUCUUAAGGUUGAAAUUUUCUGUUUUAUAGAAUGGCAACUAUCUGUUCCUUAUAUGGCAUGUGUAUUUGCUUUGUCCUCUACUUCUGAUAAGGCAAGACAGAUCAAACCAACAUAGUAAUCCUCUAAUCCUUCAUUAUAUUCUGAAAAAACACUAUGAUUUUCCAUGUCAGGAUAGUACUAUGUCAAACUGAUGCUUUGUAUUACAUGUUCUGGUGUAUACCCUGGCAAUAUUAGGCAUUUGCUUUGUUUGUUCACACCGCAUUAGUUUUUUUUAGUUAUAGCUGGUUUUAUUUCCGAUUCAAACCCAUCCAUUUGUCCUGUUUUCAUUUGUUUCUUAUAAAUUCUUUCUGAUAAGAUGUUGUCUUUCAGUUUUAUAUUUGUUCUCUUAAUUUCAUUUGUUUCUUAUGCAAGGGUUCUCAAAAAUUACUUUUGUAGGCAAGACAAAACUAAAAAGGUGAUCUGGGACAAGUGGAAGGAGGGAAGCCGUUGUAAGAUCGAUAAUAACUUGCCGACAAGAUCAUGUUCAUUUAGACCUUUCCUUACUAAAAGUUAUUUAUCUGUCGCAAGUGUUUCUGUUGGAACUAUCAAAUUCAAACUCCUAGAUGUCUAUGUCAGGAUGUAUAACUUUGUCCAGGUAGAGAUAUCCCCACUGAUCUUUUCGUGAAUCAUUUCACACUUAUUUCUGUAAAGUGCUGCUGAUUUUAGUAAACUCCCUUGGUUCAGAAAAUAAUAUAAUUCGAGCUCCUAGAAGAGCUU